This 455-nucleotide long non-coding RNA is filed under the name Pan troglodytes (chimpanzee). RNAcentral's name for it is "long non-coding RNA NONPTRT007589". The record is from RNAcentral. Lineage: Eukaryota; Metazoa; Chordata; Mammalia; Primates; Hominidae.
UCCCAGACAUGAUAGCAUUUCUUUUAUAAAUAUUUCAGUGUGUAUCUCCAAAGGAAACCAUCUUCUUAGAAAAAAAUAAAGCCACUAUACCAUCAUUAUGCUUAAAACUUAGCAAUGAUUUCCUAAUAUGACAAUGAUUCCUUAAUGUCACCAAGCAUCAAUGAGUGUUCAGAUUAUCCCAAUUGCCUUUAUAUGUUUUUUUAGUGUUUGUUUGUUUGAAUCAGGAACAAAUGAGUUUGCACCUAGGGAACCCAUUUUUUGUAACAAAAACUCUUGUUAGAAUUUCUACAAAUACAUCUGAUGGCUCUGCCUUAUCUUUAUAGAUUUGGUUAUCUUUCUUGAAAAUGUGCACCUCUUCUCAGGUAUUUUCCUCUGAAGAAUCAUUCAGACCAAGGAACCUUUUGGGAACUUCACUCCAACAAUUUUAUUUUUAGGUAAGAAAGGAUAUAAUAUCA